This 321-nucleotide ribosomal RNA is filed under the name Enterobacter cloacae. RNAcentral describes it as "bacterial SSU rRNA". It matches the Rfam family "Bacterial small subunit ribosomal RNA", at positions 1 to 318 of the family's 1533-position model. The record is from RNAcentral. Lineage: Bacteria; Pseudomonadati; Pseudomonadota; Gammaproteobacteria; Enterobacterales; Enterobacteriaceae.
UUAAAUUGAAGAGUUUGAUCAUGGCUCAGAUUGAACGCUGGCGGCAGGCCUAACACAUGCAAGUCGAACGGUAGCACAGAGAGCUUGCUCUCGGGUGACGAGUGGCGGACGGGUGAGUAAUGUCUGGGAAACUGCCUGAUGGAGGGGGAUAACUACUGGAAACGGUAGCUAAUACCGCAUAAUGUCGCAAGACCAAAGAGGGGGACUUUCGGGCCUCUUGCCAUCAGAUGUGCCCAGAUGGGAUUAGCUAGUAGGUGGGGUAACGGCUCACCUAGGCGACGAUCCCUAGCUGGUCUGAGAGGAUGACCAGCCACACUGGAA